UAUUAGGCGAGGACUAACUGUACUCCCUUUUUCAUGGGACUCAAUUAAUGUGGUUUUUAUUUUGAAUAAGCCAAAAGCAUGUCUGAUAGACACUUUCAUUUUUUCUGUAUUGGCUAAAAUGCCCCAAAAAUGGCUUGGCGCCAAUCAUCCAGUAUGAUUUUAUUUUUGCAAAAAGUUCUAGAACUCUUUCCUCCAGAAGCCUGACACUUUUUACAAAUUACGCUUCAUACUUUCAAUGUAAUUAUCAGCCUUUGACCUCUGUUGAAGUGCAAAGACCAAUAGGAGGGAUGAAGCACUAAACUGCUAUUGGUUUCUGUGUUAAUGAAGCAUUGAGAUAAGGUUCCAAUGGGAGAGGAGGUUGAAGGAAAGACUUUUUAAAAAAAAUGUGGCAUUGUUAGAUGCUUAGACAGGUACUGGAAGGUUUAGGUGGGGAAGCACUCUGAAAGGCUGGAUUUACUCUGAUUCAAAGGAAGUAUACAGAUGGGGUUCUUAGCUCAUGAAAGUUAGUAGCUACUACUAUGGUUCAGCUGCAAAGAGUGCACCUGUGAUACCAGCUCCUAGCAAUCCAACACCAAUAAUCUUGAUUCUGCAAAUUUUCACUUCCAAGAAGUUUACAAAACACAUCUGUAAUAUUUAAAGAAAGAAAAAAUAUUUCCUGGAACUUUCACCUUUAGUGAGUUAGAAGAAUGCCAUUUGAAGUAAAUAGAGAUUCAUUGUUUCUCUGUAUUUCUCAAAGAAUCAGUAGAGAUAUUGAGAGGAAAAAGUUCUUUCUCAUAUAAAUUUGGAAUAUUGGAAAGAAAUUACUGGAAGAAAAGAAAAUAUUAGAAACAUGGGUAGUGAUGAAGCAAAGAAUCUGAAAUGCUUCACUCAAAACCUCUUGAACUGUGGAAACGAUGGGGAAGAGAGUAUGUCAAAUGAGAUCCCGGGGAAGGAAUGCGAGCUUGAUAGCUUGACCAACAGCAACAAAAUGACCUGAGAACUUACUAGAAAUGCAAAUCCUUGGGCCUCACCUUAGACUGAAUCAGAAACUCUGGGAGUGGGGCCAGCAAUCUGUUUUGACAAGCCCUUUGGGUGAUUCAAUUGCUGAUUAAAGUGAGAAAAUCACCACUUGAGUGCAGCAAGGAGAGCAGUGUGUUGGGAUGACAUGGGAGGUUUAAAAAUCUGUCAAAUAACAACAACAAAAAAAAUUCUUGUCCCUGUCAUCAACUUCCAUGUCAUGAGGAUAAAAGGGAAGUUUGAAAAAUUAUUUGAGAAAAUAUGGUAAGACUGGCAGCAAAUUGUAACUUUAAAAAUUAGUAGGCACAUUAGGCAAGCUUCUACCACACCUCUUUCUUACCCAGAUUCACACACACAAACCAGGCUGUCCAAAGCACAGUCCUGCUUAAUUAGAUACUGAGGAGCCAAAACUUUUCCACCCCCUCCCCUCAGUCCCUAAGACACAACACAUCAGUUUCCAUGAUUGCUGUUCAGCAGAACCAGGCCAAUCUGGUUUUUUGCAGCUUGCCUAUUAAAAAGUGACUUUCACACCCUCCUGGGUUAUGUACCAAGACCUUUGCCCUUUUGUGGCUUAGCAGAAUGAUUUAUUUGUGUCAUUAGUCAAUCUAUUAUUUCAUCCAAAAUAUUUCCAUUACCUGAAA
RNAcentral lists this long non-coding RNA (1637 nucleotides) under Homo sapiens (human). Its description in RNAcentral is "HSALNT0342009". The record is from RNAcentral. Lineage: Eukaryota; Metazoa; Chordata; Mammalia; Primates; Hominidae.